UCCUGAGAAAAAUUUGAAUUCAAAUCAGUCUCGAAUAAUAUCCGUCCUUUCCCCAGUACCCAUACUUUUUUACAAUUUUGUAAAGACGCUGCAUGAUGAGCAACUACAAAAACUGUACAAUGAGGGAAAUAUUGUCUUAAUAAUUGAUGUAUAGGUACAUAAUCAAUAGUAUCUUCUUGAAAUACAUCAGGUGGAGGCUCAUCAACUAGAAUUAAUCUGUAGCUCUUUGCAUUUAAAACUAAUCUUGCUAAUGAUAAAUAUCUUAAUUGAGAAUCUGAUAAAUAUCUCUCAUCGUCUGGAGUCUCAGAAUGACUUGAAUUUAUACAGUUAGUCAUCUUUGAUUUUUGUUCUGUCUUGAUUGAAUUCUCUGAAAUAUUAUUACUAUUAUAUGUAGCUCCUGAACUAUUAUCUGGUACUAUUACAGCAUCAAGCAUCUUCCCACCUGGUAACGACCUAAUUAAACUUGAUAAACCACAUAAAUUAAGAGCAUCCCAAAUAUCAUCCUUUGAGAAUUUUUGGUAUGGAUCUAAAAAGUUGCGAACUGUCCAACCUUUCAGAAUUAAGGGUACCUGUGGAAGAAUACCUAUCAAUUUAUUUCUAUCUUCAUUACUCAUUUGAUCAAUUGGAAUAUUAUCUAAAAAUACUCUGCCAUUAGUUAUUGGAACUAAACCUAAAAUUGCCUGUAAAAAUGUUGAUUUACCACUACCUGUUCUGCCUAUUACUCCAAUAUGUUCGUUUGGACCAGUGCAAGCAUUCAUCUUAUUAAUUGCUGGAGGGAAGUAAAUUUCAUCAGGAUUAUCUGCUGGAUUACUAUUUGGACGUCUAUAUCUAACCUCUAAAUCAAUGAUCUUUACACCACUUUUUAUAUUUUCUAUAUUCUUCUCUUGUUUUUCUAUAUCUUCAACCUUACAUGGAGAAGAAAAUGGUAAAUUAUAAAUCUUCUCCUUAUUCAAAAUCUCAUAAUAUUGAUGUAACCUCUCCACAGAAAUCAUCUCUUUCUCCAUAUUUACAUAUGAUGUUAUUGUCAUACCAAUAUUUGAAGCAAUUGAUUCUGAGUAAUAUAAUGCUAUACCAACAAUACCAGCCCCUGGACCUGAUCCUAAUCUUGUAUUCAUAUCGGAUGUCUGACCUUCUAAUAAAGUAUCUGAUGGACUAGAAAAGAAAUCAGAAAUUAAAGCGGUGAAAAAGUUUGAAGACAUUGCUGUUAAUGGAAAAGUUAAAAGUUGAGUUCUUAAAGAAGACCAUUCUUUUGAACAUAGUUGCAUAAAUUUAGCUCUUUGAACCAUAUCAAUAAUCUCGGUACCCUGUAACAUAUAAUGAUCUUGAGCACGAAAGGCUCUAAUUAUUGGCCCUCCACUCAUUGCUUCAGAGAAUACUCCACAUAAUGGUGAAUAUAAUACAAGACACAUUCUUUGAAGUUCACGGGAAGAUCUUGAAAAAUAUCUUGCAACUGCAUAAUAAAUACCCAAUCCAAUCAUUGGAAAAAGAAAUACUACUGAAGGUUCUGCUGAUACUACUACAAUACAUUGAAAUAAAACAUUCAUUGCUCCAACUAAAACCGUAGCAAUCUUCAUUAUUGGGAUAUUAUCUACCAUAAGUAGAUCUGUACUGAAUCUACUAAGAACUCUACCAACAGGGUUAGAAUCAAAAAAGUUUAAUGGAGCAUUUAAAACAUCAACCAAUAAAUUAUCAUGAAUUUCUAUGGCUGCUUUAAUACCACAAAUUGCUUCUCCAAUAAAAACCAUUGAGCUCACAGCUAAUUGUAUUAGUGCUAAAAUAAUAUAAAUUAAUGCAAAUUUUUUACCCUCAAAGAUGGAUUUGUCAACAUCAGUAAGAGGAGCUCUUGAAGUAUAUGAACCCAUAUAAUAAUCUGUACCUUUAUCAAACAUAGUUUUUGAAUAACAUAAUAUAAAUAAUGCUAUAGUCCAACUCCAUUUAAGCUUUGAAAAGUACCAAUAAUAAGUCUUCUUUGAAACCAUACCAGUAACUCUCCCCUCUU
This 1999-nucleotide non-coding RNA is filed under the name Cryptosporidium parvum. The record is from RNAcentral. Lineage: Eukaryota; Apicomplexa; Conoidasida; Eucoccidiorida; Cryptosporidiidae.